RNAcentral lists this ribosomal RNA (110 nucleotides) under Pogona vitticeps (central bearded dragon). The record is from RNAcentral. Lineage: Eukaryota; Metazoa; Chordata; Lepidosauria; Squamata; Agamidae.
AUUGUCUGAUGCCACCAUGAACAAACCCUGUUCCUGGAAGCUAAGCAGGAUUGGGCCUGGUUAGUCCUUGGGUGGGUGACCCUUGGGGGAAACACAGGAGACGGGCAGGG